CCUACGGGAGGCAGCAGUGAGGAAUAUUGGUCAAUGGACGAGAGUCUGAACCAGCCAAGUAGCGUGAAGGAUGACUGCCCUAUGGGUUGUAAACUUCUUUUAUAUGGGAAUAAAAUGUUCCACGUGUGGGAUUUUGUAUGUACCAUAUGAAUAAGGAUCGGCUAACUCCGUGCCAGCAGCCGCGGUAAUACGGAGGAUACGAGCGUUAUCCGGAUUUAUUGGGUUUAAAGGGAGCGUAGGUGGUUUGUUAAGUCAGUUGUGAAAGUUUGCGGCUCAACCGUAAAAUUGCAGUUGAAACUGGCAGUCUUGAGGACAGUAGAGGUGGGCGGAAUUCGUGGUGUAGCGGUGAAAUGCUUAGAUAUCACGAAGAACUCCGAUUGCGAAGGCAGUUCACUGGACUGCAACUGACACUGAGGCUCGAAAGUGUGGGUAUCAAACAGGAUUAGAUACCCGAGUAGUC
This 460-nucleotide ribosomal RNA is filed under the name uncultured bacterium. Its description in RNAcentral is "partial 16S ribosomal RNA". It matches the Rfam family "Bacterial small subunit ribosomal RNA", at positions 338 to 795 of the family's 1533-position model. The record is from RNAcentral.